UACGUAGGGUGCGAGCGUUAAUCGGAAUUACUGGGCGUAAUGCGUGCGCAGGCGGUUUGACAAGUCUGAUGUGAAAUCCCCGGGCUCAACCUGGGAACUGCGUUGGAAACUGUCAGGCUAGAGUGUGGCAGAGGGGGGUAGAAUUCCACGUGUAGCAGUGAAAUGCGUAGAGAUGUGGAGGAAUACCGAUGGCGAAGGCAGCCCCCUGGGCUAACGCUGACGCUCAUGCACGAAAGCGUGGGGAGCAAACAGGAUUAGAUA
RNAcentral lists this ribosomal RNA (261 nucleotides) under uncultured bacterium. RNAcentral's name for it is "partial 16S ribosomal RNA". It matches the Rfam family "Bacterial small subunit ribosomal RNA", at positions 524 to 784 of the family's 1533-position model. The record is from RNAcentral.